This 522-nucleotide ribosomal RNA is filed under the name Clostridioides difficile. RNAcentral describes it as "bacterial SSU rRNA". It matches the Rfam family "Bacterial small subunit ribosomal RNA", at positions 1017 to 1533 of the family's 1533-position model. Lineage: Bacteria; Bacillati; Bacillota; Clostridia; Peptostreptococcales; Peptostreptococcaceae. The record is from RNAcentral.
CUUCGGGGACAUUGGUGACAGGUGGUGCAUGGUUGUCGUCAGCUCGUGUCGUGAGAUGUUGGGUUAAGUCCCGCAACGAGCGCAACCCUUGUCUUUAGUUGCCAUCAUUAAGUUGGGCACUCUAGAGAGACUGCCAGGGAUAACCUGGAGGAAGGUGGGGAUGACGUCAAAUCAUCAUGCCCCUUAUGCUUAGGGCUACACACGUGCUACAAUGGGUAGUACAGAGGGUUGCCAAGCCGUAAGGUGGAGCUAAUCCCUUAAAGCUACUCUCAGUUCGGAUUGUAGGCUGAAACUCGCCUACAUGAAGCUGGAGUUACUAGUAAUCGCAGAUCAGAAUGCUGCGGUGAAUGCGUUCCCGGGUCUUGUACACACCGCCCGUCACACCACGGGAGUUGGAGACGCCCGAAGCCGAUUAUCUAACCGUUUGGAAGAAGUCGUCGAAGGUGGAAUCAAUAACUGGGGUGAAGUCGUAACAAGGUAGCCGUAUCGGAAGGUGCGGCUGGAUCACCUCCUUUCUAAGGA